Molecule: long non-coding RNA, 966 nt
Organism: Siniperca chuatsi (mandarin fish)
Lineage: Eukaryota; Metazoa; Chordata; Actinopteri; Centrarchiformes; Sinipercidae
Exons: 2
Source: RefSeq, a predicted model, not a curated record
AUCACCAAAGUGAUUACAUUUCAGGAGAGGAGAGGAGAACAUGAAUGUCUCGUAGCAAUCCAUCCAGUAGUUGUCGAGACAUUUCACUCAAAACCUCAUGGUGGCACUAGGAGAAAAGUCAUAAGGAAUGAUUCUCUUGGACCAUGAAUGUCUGUACAAAACUUCAUGGUUCUGCCACUGAUCCACCAGGACGUCAGAUGCUAAGCUGUUUGUAAAUCAUGAUAAUCACACUCAAGGAUUUUUCCCUCUGGCCUGUAUUGACUUAAGUUAGUCUGACAGACUUCUUACAAGAAAUGUGUACUUCUUCCCAUAAUGGAGAGGUGUUUGUCAUGGUACAGCUGUACCACUCCUAGUGUCUCUGUUGUCUGUUUGUCCCCUGUUGGUUCCCCUCCUGUUUGUCUGUGAAUGUGUGUGCUGGCGAGGAGUGGCCAUCGGUGAACCUCCAAUCAGAAUCUGACACACCUGCUACUCAUCUGCUGCUACUCACCUGUUCACCAUCCACCAAUCAAGACCAUGCAGUAAAUCUACCCGGCUCUUCGUCAGUCUUCGACUGAUUGUCCAUUUACAUUAGGGGUUCACUCCUCAAACCGACUCCUGCCUCCGAUCUACUCACCGGCUCUUCAGAAGCUUCUCACCGCAGGUUCACCUCUGCUCCACGCCAGCCAGCCGUCCUCGCCCAGUCUACCUGAGCUCGCGGACUGUCUGCCUCAGCCUGGGAACCAUCCUCGCGUCACGGAGCUUCCCUCCACACACCUCGUUACUCUUUCAACUUGUUUGUACAAUAAACCAAAGACUAACCACUUUAACUCCCUGUUUUCGAGUUGGGGUUUUGGGUCCAGACUCGGUGUACUAUAACAGUGUUGGCCGGGGAGUGCGAGGUGGUUCUGAACAUUUUCAGCAAAUAAUUUAUAAAGUUUGAAAUAUUCUGUAUCCCCUUCAAGCACAUGCAAUAAAAUGUCAACAAUU